AUGAACGCUGGCGGCGUGCCUAAUACAUGCACGUCGAGCGAACAGACGAGGAGCUUGCUCCUCUGACGUUAGCGGCGGACGGGUGAGUAACACGUGGAUAACCUACCUAUAAGACUGGGAUAACUUCGGGAAACCGGAGCUAAUACCGGAUAAUAUAUUGAACCGCAUGGUUCAAUAGUGAAAGACGGUUUUGCUGUCACUUAUAGAUGGAUCCGCGCCGCAUUAGCUAGUUGGUAAGGUAACGGCUUACCAAGGCAACGAUGCGUAGCCGACCUGAGAGGGUGAUCGGCCACACUGGAACUGAGACACGGUCCAGACUCCUACGGGAGGCAGCAGUAGGGAAUCUUCCGCAAUGGGCGAAAGCUUGACGGAGCACCGCCGCGUGAGUGAUGAAGGUCUUCGGAUCGUAAAACUCUGUUAUUAGGGAAGAACAAAUGUGUAAGUAACUAUGCACGUCUUGACGGUACCUAAUCAGAAAGCCACGGCUAACUACGUG
RNAcentral lists this ribosomal RNA (496 nucleotides) under uncultured bacterium. RNAcentral's name for it is "partial 16S ribosomal RNA". It matches the Rfam family "Bacterial small subunit ribosomal RNA", at positions 29 to 507 of the family's 1533-position model. The record is from RNAcentral.